AACGAACGCUGGCGGCAGGCUUAACACAUGCAAGUCGAGCGCCCCGCAAGGGGAGCGGCAGACGGGUGAGUAACGCGUGGGAAUCUACCCAUCUCUACGGAAUAACUCAGGGAAACUUGUGCUAAUACCGUAUACGCCCUUAGGGGGAAAGAUUUAUCGGAGAUGGAUGAGCCCGCGUUGGAUUAGCUAGUUGGUGGGGU
RNAcentral lists this ribosomal RNA (200 nucleotides) under uncultured bacterium. RNAcentral describes it as "partial 16S ribosomal RNA". It matches the Rfam family "Bacterial small subunit ribosomal RNA", at positions 29 to 258 of the family's 1533-position model. The record is from RNAcentral.